GACGAACGCUGGCGGCGUGCUUAACACAUGCAAGUCGAACGGAAAGGCCCUGCUUUUGUGGGGUGCUCGAGUGGCGAACGGGUGAGUAACACGUGAGUAACCUGCCCUUGACUUUGGGAUAACUUCAGGAAACUGGGGCUAAUACCGGAUAGGAGCUCCUGCUGCAUGGUGGGGGUUGGAAAGUUUCGGCGGUUGGGGAUGGACUCGCGGCUUAUCAGCUUGUUGGUGGGGUAGUGGCUUACCAAGGCUUAGACGGGUAGCCGGCCUGAGAGGGUGACCGGCCACAUGGGGACUGAGAUACGGCCCAGACUCGUACGGGAGGCAGCAGUGGGGAAUAUUGCACAAUGGGCGGAAGCCUGAUGCAGCAACGCCGCGUGCGGGAUGACGGCCUUCGGGUUGUAAACCGCUUUCGCCUGUGACGAAGCGUGAGUGACGGUAAUGGGUAAAGAAGCACCGGCUAACUACGUG
This 468-nucleotide ribosomal RNA is filed under the name uncultured bacterium. RNAcentral describes it as "partial 16S ribosomal RNA". It matches the Rfam family "Bacterial small subunit ribosomal RNA", at positions 28 to 507 of the family's 1533-position model. The record is from RNAcentral.